Molecule: non-coding RNA, 46 nt
Organism: Trichobilharzia regenti
Lineage: Eukaryota; Metazoa; Platyhelminthes; Trematoda; Strigeidida; Schistosomatidae
Source: Rfam
GUACUGAUGAAGGGUCUCAAAGUAGGACGAAACAGCUGUCCAGUAC